AUCCCACAAAAACCCUUUUUUUUUUUUUGCAAAAAUUCCCCCUUUUUUUUGGAAGAACCCAGGCUGGGAAUGUAUAUGCAAACGCCUUAAUAGGAGCUGCAGCUCCAGUCUCUUCUCCUCCUCCUUGGUUUGGAAGGUUUUUCCCACCUGUCCAAAAGGAAUUUUGGGUGGUGUUGGAGCAACUGAGUCUGCAGCAAACAGCACCAGAGGAGGCUUUUCUCUGUGACUCUUGGAAAAAAAAAACAAACAAAACCCUCCGUUCUUCUGCUUCCUGUGCUCAGCAAGGAGCAGCCUGGAUCCUGAUGGAAGCUGGCAUUCCAGGAAAAGUUUGGGAAUGGAUUUUGGGGUGUGUGCUGUCAGCUCUGCCCCCGGGGGCACCGGGACUUGUGCAGCAACAAAAGCAGCCGGGGCUUUUCUGCUGCCCUUCUCCUUUUUUUUUCUUUUUUCUUUGCAAGGAAUUUUCUUUUUUUUUUUUUUUUUCAAGGAAUUUAUUCCAAGUUUAUGUGCAGGACAAUUCUGUGGAGCCCCUGGGAAAAGAGGUGGGGCUGGAUUUUGGAUGCUUCCCUGCCCUCCUUCCCUUCCCAUGGACAGCUGGGAUCAGCUCCUCUCACUUCUCACACAGUUCGAAUGCUGGAGUCCAAACAUUUCUUGUGCCAGAGCCUGGGAGCUCCCUGCUGGAUCAGCAGGAUGGCAGCAGGAUUUUCCCUGCACUUUUGGAGGCUUUUCCUUGGGUUUUCAGGGGGUUUUCCCUGUUUUUUGGGGGGAUUUUCCUUGGGUUUUUAGGGGAGGUUGCUGCCUGACCUGCAAUUCCAGGGCCCAGCAGGGUGAGUGAGAACAGCAACAUGCCAGCAUUUAGUGUUGCUUCUCUUUUCUCCACAAUUUUGGGGAAGCUUCCUGCUUUUCCCCACGUGGAAAAGCUCCUCUUUUGCUGUCUUUUACCCCAGGUUUUGCAGCGGGGCUGUCGAUUUAUUUGGUUUUUUUUUGGAGGGAGCACUGACCCCAAAGCAGGCUGAGGGGUUCCACGGGGUAAAUCUGCUUUCACCUCCUUGGUGUCCUGGAUUAAAAAUGCAGGAUUGUUCUCCGGAGCCAUUGUUGGAGGUGAGGUGGAAUUUGUGUAGGUGGAUUUUUACACCUCAGGUGGCCUUGUAAGAAAAGUGAGGGGUGGAAAAAACGAGAGCUGCUCCUCUCUCAGCCCCUCAGUCCUGAAGUGUUGGGCUCUGGGUCUGUGUCCUUCCAAUUUGGGGCAUCCCAUGUCAGGCAGCAACUUCUGGGUGUGAAUUGAGGAUCUUCCCCAUAAAAUAUUCCCAGAAAAAACAGAUGGAGACAUCUCUUUCCUUCAGCAUCCUGCGAGCUGCCAUGAGCAGAGGAAGAUUUUCCCCUCUCCAGCACGAGGAGCUGACAGUGUUUGCUGUAAAUACUGCACCUAUUCCACGGAUAAGUGGUGAACUCAAACUUUUCCAGAGGUUUUUUUUCUUCUUUUUUUUUUUUUUUCCUUCUGCCACUUUUCCAGGCUUUGGAAUUCCCUUGAAAGCCACAAGAAACACCCAGGACUUUUCUUUUCCUGCAGUGAUGUUCCCUUUCUAUAUCCUGCCAUUGAGAUACGGAAAAAAAAAAAACAAACCACUUUUGUGUGUUCCUGACGUGACACCUGGGACAGGUGGAGAAGCAGGGAGUGAGCUCGUGGAGUGACCUGUCUUCCUGUUGGCUCCUGUCAGAGGCAAAAAACGCUUCACAUUUAGACAUCAGCAGAUGCAGGAGGAAAUUCCUGCGCCAGCAGCUCUUCAAAUGUGCAAUAUUGACCUUUUGUUUUAAUUUAAUUUUUAUUUUUGACAUGCAGAAGCGAAGCUGCAGGUGAUCAUGAAGAGCAGGCAUCUGGAAUUUUGCUUUUUUUGGAGCCUGCUCUGGGAAAUUUUCUGGAGCUAUGUAUAAAUAGCAGCACUUUGGUUGGUUCAGGUUGGCCAAUUUUUUGCCUACCAAAUACGUGGACUUUUGACAUUUGCAGGCUGGGAUUCGAAUUGAAAAUUCAUGAAUGAUGAGCACUAAAAAACUUGCAAUUUAAUUGCUUCCCUUUCCCCCUUGUUCCCCUGUGGAGAAAAGCCAAGUUCAGCUGUUGAAAAAUUUGUGCACUUAAUUCUUUGUGAGCUUUUAUGGCUUUGGGCAGAGGGUCAAGCCCCCCAAAAAAAAAAAUAUAUUAUUUGUGGGCUCCUGCUCCUCUCCAAGAAGCUUCCCAAAAUUGCUGUGCCACAGAGAAUCCAGGUUUUCCUGUGGGAAUGCUGAGUUUUUGUGGAAUGAGAUAAUUGAAUUCCCUGGAUGGGAAAG
This is a non-coding RNA of Lonchura striata (white-rumped munia), 2319 nucleotides long. The record is from RefSeq and is a predicted model, not a curated record. NCBI's taxonomy places the organism in Eukaryota, Metazoa, Chordata, Aves, Passeriformes, Estrildidae.